UUUUUUUUUUUCUAUUUUAUCAACUUUGUAUCCAAAGGAAUGACGGAUGUUCCCUAAACUUACUGCGAUAAUCAUUUCCUGAUGUGUGUAAGUCAAAUCAUUACACUGUACAUCUUACACGUACACAAUGCGGUGUGUCAAGCACAUCUCAACUAAACUGCAAGGAAAAAAAUGCUAUGAACACAGCAGUCCGAAAAGAAAUUCUCUCCAAAGAUAUCUUAUGUAUUUUAAUGAAAUCUGUUUCUCAAAAUUAAAAAAAAAAAAGAAUAUGAGCAGACAGGACAAGGAAAACUUGCAGGUGCUUAGUUCUAAAUGCCUUAAAUAAUUCUGAUACUUGGAAGACACAAUCAACAUUUCAGGAGCUAAAAUUAUUUUCUUUCCACCUGAAUUAUUUGAUUAUUUAUCACAACAAAUAAUUAUCAAUUAUUUGAUAAUUUAUCACAACAUUACCAGUGGUGCAUAUGCCCUUUUGGAUUGUAUAUAUAUAUAUUUUUUAAAGUUUCAAGUUGUUUUUAUCAACUAGCUUAUUUUUUUCCUACCUUAAGCUGAUGGUGAUGCUGAAUGGAAUUUUAAUUUACAUCAAAAGAAAAAAAAUGACACCUGGUUUUGAUGUUUAAACAAUUGUGUCUAAUAAUAUCAGGGUACACUGAGGGGAAUUUAUAAGAAAAACACUGAGAGUUCUCACAUUUAAAAACUAUCUUAAUAGGAUUUAUAGUUAGCAAAUAAAAUACUUAAGAUACUAUAUUCUACAAGCUGGUCGCCAUAAGCAAAGAUGCAGGCAACCAUGCAAUCUUGUAUAAUGCAGUUCAAGAUCUGAUUAUAAUGCUGACUGCACUAAAACACACCUAGAACUUAAAAAACAAAACAAGACAAAAUGAUUUGCCUGUGACUUGAGAGGGAGGGCAAAUGAUAACAAGAACAAGCAUAUGCAAAAUAUUCUUUAAGGUAUAUACGAGGGAAUGAAUUAAUUUAAAACAAAUCAAAUACGAGUUGAUAGAAAACAGUACAACCUUAGUAUACGACAUCCAAUCUUUCUCGAGAAAUGGCUACACAAGUCAUGAAUAAUAACCUAUAACUUUUAAUAUCCUUUGGCCAAUAUGCAUUUCAAGCAAAAAAAAUCCACACAGUCGGACCCUCAUAUUUGGGGGACAUUUAUUAGAAUUAGCUUUAAACUGAUGGGAGUAAAUAUCAGGCUUAUUAAUUCUAGUUGCAUCAUAAAAUCAACUGGACGGGCAGAUGGUCACGAGAGGUAAGGUCUGACCAAUAAGGAAUGUAUCAGUCACUGGGUGGAGCUUCUCAGGAAAAUUCUCUCAAUGGCAUUUGCCAGCUGGCACGUACCUUGGGCCCUCCCUUGUACCUCUGGGUGCCUGGCAUACAGGCAACAACACCCAUUUUUUGACUAGACAUGAAAAAUCAAAAGAAUCAAAGGUUUCUACCCUGCCAUCCUUUUUCUGGAUAACAAAGCUAUCAAAUGCCUUCUCAUGACAUGAGAGAAAAAAAUAACAAAACCAUCUCUUGUUCAAGCCGCCAUUAUUUGGGCAUCACGUUAUAUCCACCAAGCCCAACGCCUAAUUAUUAUUAAUAAUAAUAAUGCUAGCUGUAUCCAUUAAAUUCUACCUUUAUUUUUAAAACAAUACAAAUACAUGCCCUUCCGUGGGCCAGGAAUCCACAAGCAGAGAAGAAAUAUUGAACAUCUAUUUAUAUGCCUAGCACUCUACUAGGUGCUACAGAAGACUCUAAAGAAUUGCAAAAUAGGGAGUUCCCGUUGUGACGGCAAUUUAAAAAGACUAGGAAAGAGGUAAAGUAUUAGCUUUAUAAUUAAAAACUCUCCAUGUCCUUCCUGGUGAUCAGGCCCUUGAUUGUCCAUACGAACAACGCCACACUCACACUUCAAACAAAUUCUGCUUUAAAUUGCUUCUUCUGUUGAUUAAAACUAUUUAUAUUCUAUGAAAAAAUUCAGUAUCUAAAGAUAAUAAAAGCUCGCAACUGGUCCCCUCUGCACCCACUACCACCAGGACUAAGCAAACAAUAAACUGGUAUUUUUUGGCUGCGCCCACAGCGUGCAAAAGCUCCCGAGCCAGGGACUGAACCGGAGCCACAGCAGUAACCCGAGAUACAGCAAUGGCAAUGCCAAGUCCUUAACCACUAGGCCACCAGGGAACUCCUUAGUUGUUCUUUCAAAACCUAGACCGAUUUGGCUCUCUCACAAUUCCCAUAGGGUGACCAGAUGUCCCGUGACCGCACAGCUGGCUGAGGCACAGUACUGACUGUAACACGAGCGGUUGACUAACUCGGCUUAGGAUAGUACAGAUACUGGCUCAGUGAUGCAGCUCAACCUGGCAUUACAUACUUGAAAGCCGGACUAGCCUUUCCAAACUCAUGCUUUGCCACUUUGCAGCUAGCCAAGUUCUCUGACUUCUUUUUACUUCGGGGUAAAAGGGCAAUGAGCAAUAAUAGUAACAACGGCCCCACAGGGCUCUUAUGGACCUCACAUCCUCUGGAAAAUGUCUAGCACAUUAAGGACUCAGUACCUGCCGGCUACUGUUACCAGGAGCACAUCUAGAUUUAUAGCCCACAUCGGUUUAACCAAUAAGCCUGACAUCUCCCAUCCAAUCUUGUUGUUAGUUAGGGCUCAUCAGUCCCCUGUGGCUGGUUUUCAGUUCCAGUCACCUG
This 2673-nucleotide long non-coding RNA is filed under the name Sus scrofa (pig). Its description in RNAcentral is "lncRNA (ENSSSCG00040008895.1)". The record is from RNAcentral. Lineage: Eukaryota; Metazoa; Chordata; Mammalia; Artiodactyla; Suidae.